UACAGAGGGUGCAAGCGUUGUUCGGAAUUACUGGGCGUAAAGGGCGCGUAGGCGGCCUUGUAAGUCAGAUGUGAAAUCCCGGGGCUUAACUCCGGAAGUGCAUUUGAAACUACAAGGCUAGAGUUCAGUAGAGGUUGGCGGAAUACCCAGUGGAGAGGUGAAAUUCGUAGAUAUUGGGUGGAACACCGGUGGCGAAGGCGGCCAACUGGGCUGACACUGACGCUGAGGCGCGAAAGCAUGGGUAGCAAACAGG
Molecule: unclassified non-coding RNA, 253 nt
Filed under: uncultured bacterium
Lineage: Bacteria
Description: contains 16S-23S intergenic spacer region
Rfam family: Bacterial small subunit ribosomal RNA
Source: RNAcentral